Molecule: long non-coding RNA, 232 nt
Organism: Micropterus salmoides (largemouth bass)
Lineage: Eukaryota; Metazoa; Chordata; Actinopteri; Centrarchiformes; Centrarchidae
Exons: 2
Source: RefSeq, a predicted model, not a curated record
GGAUUAUCCUUUUGUUCUGUCUUCCCCUGGAUCCUUUGUUAUGGACUGUUUUUGCUGCUCUGCGGACAACCUUAGUUUGGACUCUGCUUUUGCAGGAAUUGAAGGGACCGGUGAAGUGCAAGAGUUAUGAAAGCCGUCAUGGAUGAGUCUUCGUCUCUUCCUUUCUACAUCAAACACACAUGGACAAUUUUUUUAUUAAAAUUACAGCUAUUGAGUUUGUCGCCCCAUCUAA